GUUGGGCGUGGUGGCGUACUUCUGUAAUCCCAGCGGCUCUGGAGGCUGAGGUAGGAGGAUCGCAAGUUCAAAGCCACCCUCAGCAAUGGCAAGGUUCUAAGCAAUUCAGUGAGACCCUGUCUCUA
RNAcentral lists this small RNA (125 nucleotides) under Marmota monax (woodchuck). Lineage: Eukaryota; Metazoa; Chordata; Mammalia; Rodentia; Sciuridae. The record is from RNAcentral.